RNAcentral lists this long non-coding RNA (324 nucleotides) under Manihot esculenta (cassava). RNAcentral describes it as "long non-coding RNA (MESC_LNC001881)". The record is from RNAcentral. Lineage: Eukaryota; Viridiplantae; Streptophyta; Magnoliopsida; Malpighiales; Euphorbiaceae.
UCUCCUUUAGGCCUUUUAUCCAAUUGGGUACACUGAGUUUUGGCUUCUCCCAACAUAAGGGGCACUUUUGAAAUCCAACUUGCUCUUAAUCUAGACAUCUUUUCAGACCCUAACAUUAAUGUCUGAGUCUCCUACUUCAUGGACAUUAACCCACGCAGCUUCAGUAUCCCAUGAUGUCCUAAACUCGUUGGCACAGUUUUGUUGCCCUAAAUUUUUAACUAUGGGUUUUUUUUUUCCACAAAAUAAUAAUAGAAAAAUAAAAGAAGCCACUACAAAAUUCCCAUUAACAAGCUAAUCAAUGCUGUGGUUAUUGUUUCAACGUCA